GAUGCUUUAGUGCCUUCGGGAACUCUGAGACAGGUGCUGCAUGGCUGUCGUCAGCUCGUGUUGUGAAAUGUUGGUAAGUCCCGCAACGAGCGCAACCCUUUAUCCUUUGUUGCCAGCACGUAAUGGUGGGAACUCAAAGGAGACUGCCGGUGAUAAACCGGAGGAAGGUGGGGAUGACGUCAAGUCAUCAUGGCCCUUACGAGUAGGGCUACACACGUGCUACAAUGGCGCAUACAAAGAGAAGCGACCUCGCGAGAGCAAGCGGACCUCAUAAAGCGCGUCGUAGUCCGGAUUGGAGUCUGCAACUCGACUCCAUGAAGUCGGAAUCGCUAGUAAUCGUAAAUCAGAAUGUUACGGUGAAUACGUUCCCGGGCCUUGUACACACCGCCCGUCACACCAUGGGAGUGGGUUGCAAAAGAAGUAGAUAGCUUAACCUUCGGGAGGGCGUUUACCACUUUGUGAUUCAUGACUGGGGUGAAGUCGUAACAAGGUAGGCGUAGUGCU
RNAcentral lists this ribosomal RNA (504 nucleotides) under uncultured bacterium. RNAcentral describes it as "bacterial SSU rRNA". It matches the Rfam family "Bacterial small subunit ribosomal RNA", at positions 1005 to 1509 of the family's 1533-position model. The record is from RNAcentral.